This 490-nucleotide ribosomal RNA is filed under the name uncultured bacterium. Its description in RNAcentral is "partial 16S ribosomal RNA". It matches the Rfam family "Bacterial small subunit ribosomal RNA", at positions 30 to 507 of the family's 1533-position model. The record is from RNAcentral.
AUUGAACGCUGGCGGCAGGCCUAACACAUGCAAGUCGAACGGUAACAGGAAGAAGCUUGCUUCUUUGCUGACGAGUGGCGGACGGGUGAGUAAUGUCUGGGAAACUGCCUGAUGGAGGGGGAUAACUACUGGAAACGGUAGCUAAUACCGCAUAACGUCGCAAGACCAAAGGGGGGGACCUUCGGGCCUCUUGCCAUCGGAUGUGCCCAGAUGGGAUUAGCUAGUAGGUGGGGUAACGGCUCACCUAGGCGACGAUCCCUAGCUGGUCUGAGAGGAUGACCAGCCACACUGGAACUGAGACACGGUCCAGACCCCUACGGGAGGCAGCAGUGGGGAAUAUUGCACAAUGGGCGCAAGCCUGAUGCAGCCAUGCCGCGUGUAUGAAGAAGGCCUUCGGGUUGUAAAGUACUUUCAGCGGGGAGGAAGGGAGUAAAGUUAAUACCUUUGCUCAUUGACGUUACCCGCAGAAGAAGCACCGGCUAACUCCGUG